UACAGAGGGGGCAAGCGUUAUUCGGAAUUAUUGGGCGUAAAGGGCGCGUAGGCGGCCUGGCAAGUGGAAGGUGAAAUCCCUCGGCUUAACCGAGGAACUGCCCUCCAAACUGCUUGGCUUGAGUCCGGGAGAGGUGAGUGGAAUUCCCAGUGUAGAGGUGAAAUUCGUAGAUAUUGGGAAGAACACCGGUGGCGAAGGCGGCUCUCUGGCUCGUAACUGACGCUCAGGCGCGACAGCGUGGGGAUCAAACAGG
Molecule: ribosomal RNA, 253 nt
Filed under: uncultured bacterium
Lineage: Bacteria
Description: partial 16S ribosomal RNA
Rfam family: Bacterial small subunit ribosomal RNA
Source: RNAcentral